This 1768-nucleotide ribosomal RNA is filed under the name Escherichia coli P0305260.1. RNAcentral's name for it is "bacterial LSU rRNA". It matches the Rfam family "Bacterial large subunit ribosomal RNA", at positions 1180 to 2925 of the family's 2925-position model. The record is from RNAcentral. Lineage: Bacteria; Pseudomonadati; Pseudomonadota; Gammaproteobacteria; Enterobacterales; Enterobacteriaceae.
GCUAAACCAUGCACCGAAGCUGCGGCAGCGACGCUUAUGCGUUGUUGGGUAGGGGAGCGUUCUGUAAGCCUGCGAAGGUGUGCUGUGAGGCAUGCUGGAGGUAUCAGAAGUGCGAAUGCUGACAUAAGUAACGAUAAAGCGGGUGAAAAGCCCGCUCGCCGGAAGACCAAGGGUUCCUGUCCAACGUUAAUCGGGGCAGGGUGAGCCGACCCCUAAGGCGAGGCCGAAAGGCGUAGUCGAUGGGAAACAGGUUAAUAUUCCUGUACUUGGUGUUACUGCGAAGGGGGGACGGAGAAGGCUAUGUUGGCCGGGCGACGGUUGUCCCGGUUUAAGCGUGUAGGCUGGUUUUCCAGGCAAAUCCGGAAAAUCAAGGCUGAGGCGUGAUGACGAGGCACUACGGUGCUGAAGCAACAAAUGCCCUGCUUCCAGGAAAAGCCUCUAAGCAUCAGGUAACAUCAAAUCGUACCCCAAACCGACACAGGUGGUCAGGUAGAGAAUACCAAGGCGCUUGAGAGAACUCGGGUGAAGGAACUAGGCAAAAUGGUGCCGUAACUUCGGGAGAAGGCACGCUGAUAUGUAGGUGAAGUCCCUCGCGGAUGGAGCUGAAAUCAGUCGAAGAUACCAGCUGGCUGCAACUGUUUAUUAAAAACACAGCACUGUGCAAACACGAAAGUGGACGUAUACGGUGUGACGCCUGCCCGGUGCCGGAAGGUUAAUUGAUGGGGUUAGCCGCAAGGCGAAGCUCUUGAUCGAAGCCCCGGUAAACGGCGGCCGUAACUAUAACGGUCCUAAGGUAGCGAAAUUCCUUGUCGGGUAAGUUCCGACCUGCACGAAUGGCGUAAUGAUGGCCAGGCUGUCUCCACCCGAGACUCAGUGAAAUUGAACUCGCUGUGAAGAUGCAGUGUACCCGCGGCAAGACGGAAAGACCCCGUGAACCUUUACUAUAGCUUGACACUGAACAUUGAGCCUUGAUGUGUAGGAUAGGUGGGAGGCUUGGAAGUGUGGACGCCAGUCUGCAUGGAGCCGACCUUGAAAUACCACCCUUUAAUGUUUGAUGUUCUAACGUUGACCCGUAAUCCGGGUUGCGGACAGUGUCUGGUGGGUAGUUUGACUGGGGCGGUCUCCUCCUAAAGAGUAACGGAGGAGCACGAAGGUUGGCUAAUCCUGGUCGGACAUCAGGAGGUUAGUGCAAUGGCAUAAGCCAGCUUGACUGCGAGCGUGACGGCGCGAGCAGGUGCGAAAGCAGGUCAUAGUGAUCCGGUGGUUCUGAAUGGAAGGGCCAUCGCUCAACGGAUAAAAGGUACUCCGGGGAUAACAGGCUGAUACCGCCCAAGAGUUCAUAUCGACGGCGGUGUUUGGCACCUCGAUGUCGGCUCAUCACAUCCUGGGGCUGAAGUAGGUCCCAAGGGUAUGGCUGUUCGCCAUUUAAAGUGGUACGCGAGCUGGGUUUAGAACGUCGUGAGACAGUUCGGUCCCUAUCUGCCGUGGGCGCUGGAGAACUGAGGGGGGCUGCUCCUAGUACGAGAGGACCGGAGUGGACGCAUCACUGGUGUUCGGGUUGUCAUGCCAAUGGCACUGCCCGGUAGCUAAAUGCGGAAGAGAUAAGUGCUGAAAGCAUCUAAGCACGAAACUUGCCCCGAGAUGAGUUCUCCCUGACCCUUUAAGGGUCCUGAAGGAACGUUGAAGACGACGACGUUGAUAGGCCGGGUGUGUAAGCGCAGCGAUGCGUUGAGCUAACCGGUACUAAUGAACCGUGAGGCUUAACCUU